UGCAGAGAACUUUCCAGAGAUGGAUUGGUGGCCUUCGGGAACUCUGACACAGGUGCUGCAUGGCUGUCGUCAGCUCGUGUCGUGGGAUGUUCGGGUUAAGUCCCGUAAGAGCGCAACCCUUGUCCUUAGUUACCAGCACGUCAUGGCGGGCACUCUAAGGAGACUGCCGGUGACAAACCGGAGGAAGGUGGGGAUGACGUCAAGUCAUCAUGGCCCUUACGGCCUGGGCUACACACGUGCUACAAUGGUCGGUACAGAGGGUUGCCAAGCCGCGAGGUGGAGCUAAUCUCACAAAACCGAUCGUAGUCCGGAUCGCAGUCUGCAACUCGACUGCGUGAAGUCGGAAUCGCUAGUAAUCGCGAAUCAGAAUGUCGCGGUGAAUACGUUCCCGGGCCUUGUACACACCGCCCGUCACACCAUGGGAGUGGGUUGCUCCAGAAGUAGCUAGUCUAACCUUCGGGGGGACGGUUACCACGGAGUGAUUCAUGACUGGGGUGAAGUCGUAACAAGGUAGGCGUAGUGCU
This 524-nucleotide ribosomal RNA is filed under the name uncultured bacterium. Its description in RNAcentral is "bacterial SSU rRNA". It matches the Rfam family "Bacterial small subunit ribosomal RNA", at positions 987 to 1509 of the family's 1533-position model. The record is from RNAcentral.